GAGCGGACAGAUGGGAGCUUGCUCCCUGAUGUUAGCGGCGGACGGGUGAGUAACACGUGGGUAACCUGCCUGUAAGACUGGGAUAACUCCGGGAAACCGGGGCUAAUACCGGAUGCUUGUUUGAACCGCAUGGUUCAAACAUAAAAGGUGGCUUCGGCUACCACUUACAGAUGGACCCGCGGCGCAUUAGCUAGUUGGUGAGGUAAUGGCUCACCAAGGCAACGAUGCGUAGCCGACCUGAGAGGGUGAUCGGCCACACUGGGACUGAGACACGGCCCAGACUCCUACGGGAGGCAGCAGUAGGGAAUCUUCCGCAAUGGACGAAAGUCUGACGGAGCAACGCCGCGUGAGUGAUGAAGGUUUUCGGAUCGUAAAGCUCUGUUGUUAGGGAAGAACAAGUACCGUUCGAAUAGGGCGGUACCUUGACGGUACCUAACCAGAAAGCCACGGCUAACUACGUGCCAGCAGCCGCGGUAAUACGUAGGUGGCAAGCGUUGUCCGGAAUUAUUGGGCGUAAAGGGCUCGCAGGCGGUUUCUUAAGUCUGAUGUGAAAGCCCCCGGCUCAACCGGGGAGGGUCAUUGGAAACUGGGGAACUUGAGUGCAGAAGAGGAGAGUGGAAUUCCACGUGUAGCGGUGAAAUGCGUAGAGAUGUGGAGGAACACCAGUGGCGAAGGCGACUCUCUGGUCUGUAACUGACGCUGAGGAGCGAAAGCGUGGGGAGCGAACAGGAUUAGAUACCCUGGUAGUCCACGCCGUAAACGAUGAGUGCUAAGUGUUAGGGGGUUUCCGCCCCUUAGUGCUGCAGCUAACGCAUUAAGCACUCCGCCUGGGGAGUACGGUCGCAAGACUGAAACUCAAAGGAAUUGACGGGGGCCCGCACAAGCGGUGGAGCAUGUGGUUUAAUUCGAAGCAACGCGAAGAACCUUACCAGGUCUUGACAUCCUCUGACAAUCCUAGAGAUAGGACUUCCCCUUCGGGGGCAGAGUGACAGGUGGUGCAUGGUUGUCGUCAGCUCGUGUCGUGAGAUGUUGGGUUAAGUCCCGCAACGAGCGCAACCCUUGAUCUUAGUUGCCAGCAUUCAGUUGGGCACUCUAAGGUGACUGCCGGUGACAAACCGGAGGAAGGUGGGGAUGACGUCAAAUCAUCAUGCCCCUUAUGACCUGGGCUACACACGUGCUACAAUGGACAGAACAAAGGGCAGCGAAACCGCGAGGUUAAGCCAAUCCCACAAAUCUGUUCUCAGUUCGGAUCGCAGUCUGCAACUCGACUGCGU
Molecule: ribosomal RNA, 1274 nt
Filed under: Bacillus subtilis
Lineage: Bacteria; Bacillati; Bacillota; Bacilli; Caryophanales; Bacillaceae
Description: bacterial SSU rRNA
Rfam family: Bacterial small subunit ribosomal RNA
Source: RNAcentral